Molecule: ribosomal RNA, 492 nt
Filed under: uncultured bacterium
Lineage: Bacteria
Description: partial 16S ribosomal RNA
Rfam family: Bacterial small subunit ribosomal RNA
Source: RNAcentral
AGUGAACGCUGGCGGUAGGCCUAACACAUGCAAGUCGAACGGCAGCACAGUAAGAGCUUGCUCUUACGGGUGGCGAGUGGCGGACGGGUGAGGAAUACAUCGGAAUCUACUUUUUCGUGGGGGAUAGCGUAGGGAAACUUACGCUAAUACCGCAUACGACCUACGGGUGAAAGCAGGGGAUCUUCGGACCUUGCGCGAUUGAAUGAGCCGAUGUCGGAUUAGCUAGUUGGCGGGGUAAAGGCCCACCAAGGCGACGAUCCGUAGCUGGUCUGAGAGGAUGAUCAGCCACGCUGGAACUGAGACACGGUCCAGACUCCUACGGGAGGCAGCAGUGGGGAAUAUUGGACAAUGGGCGCAAGCCUGAUCCAGCCAUACCGCGUGGGUGAAGAAGGCCUUCGGGUUGUAAAGCCCUUUUGUUGGGAAAGAAAAGCAGCAGGUUAAUACCCCGCUGUUCUGACGGUACCCAAAGAAUAAGCACCGGCUAACUUCGUG